This 253-nucleotide ribosomal RNA is filed under the name uncultured bacterium. Its description in RNAcentral is "partial 16S ribosomal RNA". It matches the Rfam family "Bacterial small subunit ribosomal RNA", at positions 524 to 776 of the family's 1533-position model. The record is from RNAcentral.
UACGUAGGGUGCUAGCGUUGUUCGGAAUGACUGGGCGUAAAGGGCGCGUAGGCGGCCGCUUGCGUCGGAUGUGAAAGCCCGGGGCUCAACCCCGGAACGGCAUCCGAUACGGGGCGGCUCGAGACCGAGAGAGGUGAGUGGAAUACCCAGUGUAGAGGUGAAAUUCGUAGAUAUUGGGUGGAACACCGGUGGCGAAAGCGGCUCACUGGCUCGGUUCUGACGCUGAGGCGCGAAAGCGUGGGGAGCAAACAGG